GGGUAACCUGCCCAAGAGAUCGGGAUAACACCUGGAAACAGAUGCUAAUACCGGAUAACAAUAGAUGAUGCCUAUCAACUGUUUAAAAGAUGGUUCUGCUAUCACUCUUGGAUGGACCUGCGGUGCAUUAGCUAGUUGGUAGGGUAACGGCCUACCAAGGCGAUGAUGCAUAGCCGAGUUGAGAGACUGAUCGGCCACAUUGGGACUGAGACACGGCCCAAACUCCUACGGGAGGCAGCAGGA
RNAcentral lists this ribosomal RNA (243 nucleotides) under uncultured Lactobacillus sp. Its description in RNAcentral is "partial 16S ribosomal RNA". It matches the Rfam family "Bacterial small subunit ribosomal RNA", at positions 119 to 354 of the family's 1533-position model. Lineage: Bacteria; Bacillati; Bacillota; Bacilli; Lactobacillales; Lactobacillaceae. The record is from RNAcentral.